UAUUCCAGCUCCAAUAGCGUAUAUUAAAGUUGUUGCAGUUAAAAAGCUCGUAGUUGAACUUCAGACCUGGCCGGGCGGUCUGCCUAACGGUAUGUACUGUCUGGCUGGGUCUUACCUCUUGGUGAGCCGGCAUGCCCUUUACUGGGUGUGUCGGGGAACCAGGAUCUUUACCUUGGGAAAAUUAGAGUGUUCAAAGCAGGCCUAUGCCCGAAUACAUUAGCAUGGAAUAAUAAAAUAGGACGUGCGGUUCUAUUUUGUUGGUUUCUAGAGUCGCCGUAAUGAUUAAUAGGGAUAGUUGGGGGCAUUAGUAUUCAGUUGCUAGAGGUGAAAUUCUUGGAUUUACUGAAGACUAACUACUGCGAAAGCAUUUGCCAAGGAUGUUUUCAUUAAUCAAGAACGAAGGUUAGGGGAUCGAAAACGAUCAGAUACCGUUGUAGUCUUAACAGUAAACUAUGCCGACUAGGGAUCGGGCGAACUCAAUUUUAUGUGUCGCUCGGCACCUUACGAGAAAUCAAAGGUCUUUGGGUUCUGGGGGGAGUAUGGUCGCAAAGGCUGAAACUUAAAGGAAUUGAC
This 573-nucleotide ribosomal RNA is filed under the name uncultured eukaryote. RNAcentral describes it as "SSU rRNA". It matches the Rfam family "Eukaryotic small subunit ribosomal RNA", at positions 581 to 1157 of the family's 1831-position model. The record is from RNAcentral.